UUUCUCUUCUUCGCUCCUGUGCCGUCAACUCUCUUUUUCUCUCUACUUUCUCUCUUGCAGGAAUGGUGAUGGCGAAGCACCAACGCACUGAGGCUCAGUUUGACACAAUGACGGCCACUGCACCCUCAUCCAUAUGCCAUUGCUAAACUUCGUAAGAUCCAGCAGCGACUUCAUUGAUAAGAAAGCAAACCACUAGAAAGACGACAAAGACCACUAUGGCACCAUUGCAAACUGAAACCUCGGCACCAUCGGCGGCUUCUAUGCCAGUCGCAAUGGGGAGAGCUACCCAUUCACAGACGAAAGGCAAAAUCCCCAUCUAUGAAGUGCACACCGAUGAAAAUGAUGAAUGGGAGGUCAAGCUUAAAAUUCUAAAAUAGCUACAGGACCGAAAAGUGCAACUAAAGACCACCAUAUUGGUCUUGGAAGCUUCCACAUAAAGCAGUAGUGUGGACACAACCUGUAGCCACAGUGAAAAAGAUACCACAGGACCAGCACAGGAGGUAGAGGACACCAGUAAUGAGGAGGUUCAGCUCGCUUCUCCUCCAAAAAAGAAACAGAAAAAAAGAAUGCCCAGGAUAGCCGGCGGUAAAUCCAGAUACUUACCGGAUGAACACAAACUACACGGUCCUAUCAUUCCACCACGAUCGCGUUUAUUUCGGACAGAGAACAAGUCAGCCCCAGCCCCCUCAGUAGCACCUCUAGCACCCGAUGAUUAAGCCCGCCUAGUCAGAAUUGAGGCAAAAAUGCACCACAUUAAUGCUAAAUUGGAUGCCAUCCUGGGACAAUGCGAGGAGUAAGUGUGGGGGGGGGGAAGUUGGAAUAGAAUUAUUUUUAUUGUAUUGGCUGAUGUACUUAUUUUUCUGCUGUAUUUUCUCUUCUAUUUGUUGUUCUGCACAAAUUUUUUCUGCUUGCUGUUAAAGGCUUACCCAAGCUUGUACUCGUGCUCUGUUUUUUCUGUUUCUCAGUACUUGCACUCGCUAAUUUGUCAAUUUUUUCAAUUCUCUAAUUUUUUUAUA
Molecule: long non-coding RNA, 1016 nt
Organism: Manihot esculenta (cassava)
Lineage: Eukaryota; Viridiplantae; Streptophyta; Magnoliopsida; Malpighiales; Euphorbiaceae
Exons: 2
Source: RefSeq, a predicted model, not a curated record